This 269-nucleotide long non-coding RNA is filed under the name Brassica napus (rape). RNAcentral's name for it is "long non-coding RNA (BNAP_LNC018029)". The record is from RNAcentral. Lineage: Eukaryota; Viridiplantae; Streptophyta; Magnoliopsida; Brassicales; Brassicaceae.
UGUUUAUGUGAUCGGUCUAGUAACAUCUUGAUCAACCAGUUAAGCAUCCCAUUCAUCUAAGAAACUGACUAUAUUGACUUUUUAUCAUAUAUAAAUAUCUUAAUGCACAAUAACAUGAAAACAGGAUUCAUAUGUUAUUGGAAUUGUAUCAUUAUGGUUUGGGCUGGUAUUGUCGGCAUGCUAUAAUGUGGGUCCAAAUUCAAUAGUACACGUGUUUGAGUUAUAGACGGAAGGAAACAAAAAAAAUGUAGAGAUAUUAUGUUAGAUCA